This is an RNA transcript of Mastomys coucha (southern multimammate mouse), 1695 nucleotides long. It is a transcript of the gene named SNW domain-containing protein 1 pseudogene, with no coding region annotated. Lineage: Eukaryota; Metazoa; Chordata; Mammalia; Rodentia; Muridae. The record is from RefSeq and is a predicted model, not a curated record. The transcript has a single exon.
UGAGUAUUUUUUCAUUGUGUUCCACUUUCCCGGGCAAGACUCACCCCUCGAAGCUGUGGUCUGCUCAGGAAGAAGCAGAAAAAGAUGGCGCUCACCAGCUUUUUACCUGCGCCUACUCAGCUUUCACAGGACCAACUUGAAGCUGAAGAAAGGGCAAGAUCUCAGAGGUCACUGCAGACCUCUCUGGUCUGGUCUCGAAGGGAGCCUCCCCCAUAUGGAUAUAGGAAAGACUGGAUUCCAAGGCUAUUAGAGGAUUUUGGAGAUGGAGGUGCUUUCCCAGAAAUCCAUGUGGCCCAGUAUCCUCUGGAUAUGGGGCGAAAGAAACAAAUGUCGAAUGCUCUGGCCAUUCAGGUGGAUCCUGAAGGGAAAAUUAAAUAUGAUGCAAUCGCUCGACAAGGACAGUCCAAAGACAAGGUCAUUUAUAGCAAAUACACUGACCUGGUUCCAAAGGAGGUGAUGAAUGCAGACGACCCAGACCUGCAAAGACCCGAUGAAGAGGCAAUUAAAGAGAUAACAGAAAAGACAAGAGUUGCCCUGGAGAAAUCUGUAUCGCAGAAGGUCGCUGCAGCCAUGCCAGUUCGUGCAGCUGACAAGCUGGCUCCUGCUCAGUAUAUCCGCUACACACCAUCUCAACAGGGAGUAGCAUUCAACUCUGGAGCUAAACAGAGGGUUAUUCAGAUGGUAGAAAUGCAGAAAGACCCAAUGGAGCCUCCAAGAUUCCAGAUUAAUAAGAAAAUCCCCCGGGGUCCUCCGUCUCCUCCUGCACCUGUGAUGCACUCUCCUAGUCGGAAGAUGACUGUAAAGGAACAGCAAGAGUGGAAGAUCCCUCCGUGUAUUUCUAACUGGAAGAACGCUAAGGGGUAUACAAUUCCAUUGGACAAAAGGCUGGCUGCUGAUGGAAGAGGACUUCAGACUGUCCACAUAAAUGAAAAUUUUGCCAAACUUGCUGAGGCGCUCUACAUUGCUGAUCGGAAGGCUCGAGAAGCCGUGGAAAUGCGAGCCCAAGUAGAGAGAAAGAUGGCUCAGAAACAAAAGGAGAAACACGAAGAGAAACUUAGAGAAAUGGCUCAGAAAGCCAGAGAAAGGAGAGCCGGGAUCAAAACCCAUGUGGAGAAAGAGGAUGGUGAGGCCCGUGAAAGAGAUGAAAUCCGUCAUGACAGGCGAAAAGAGAGGCAGCAUGAACGGAACCUGUCCAGAACAGCUCCUCAUAAGAGAUCAAAACUACAGAGAAAUGAAAAUCGAGAUAUCAGUGAAGUCAUUGCUCUUGGUGUGCCCAAUCCUCGAAUUUCCAGCGAAGUUCAGUAUGACCAAAGGCUCUUCAACCAAUCCAAGGGUAUGGACAGUGGAUUUGCAGGUGGAGAGGAUGAAAUUUACAAUGUUUAUGAUCAGGCCUGGAGAACAGGGAAAGAUAUGGCUCAGAGCAUCUACAGGCCCAGUAAAAAUCUGGACAAGGACAUGUAUGGUGAUGACCUGGAAACCAAGAUAAAGACCAACAGAUUUGUUCCUGAUAAGGAGUUUUCUGGUUCAGACCCUAGACAGAGAGUCCGAGAAGGACCAGUUCAGUUUGAAGAGGAUCCUUUUGGUUUGGACAAGUUUUUGGAGGAAGCAAAACAGCACGGCGGCUCUAAAAGACCCUCUGGUAGCAGUCGCCCCACGGAGCAUGGGCAUGAAUGCAAGAAGCGGAGGAAGGAGUAG